GUAGGUGAACCUGCGGAAGGAUCAUUAAAAUCAAAGUGUGGUUUCACAACUACAUUAAACCAAAAAUGUGCAACUGUAUCGGAAACGUUGGGGUUUUUUUUGGCUAAAAGUUUCCCUGACGUUUAUUUGUUUUUAUUCAAAACUUUAGCUUUUUAUUUUAACCCGAUUUCACCUCGAUAUUCUUAGUAUGAACUUAACAUUUUUCUCGAUUCGAAAGGAUCACAGAAAAAAUCAUACGAAACUUAAGAACAACUCUUAACAACGGAUAUCUUGGCUCUC
Molecule: unclassified non-coding RNA, 279 nt
Filed under: rhizosphere metagenome
Description: partial ribosomal RNA internal transcribed spacer region
Source: RNAcentral